GAUGGACCCGCGUUGGAUUAGCUAGUUGGUGAGAUAACAGCCCACCAAGGCGACGAUCCAUAGCCGGCCUGAGAGGGUGAACGGCCACAUUGGGACUGAGACACGGCCCAAACUCCUACGGGAGGCAGCAGUGGGGAAUAUUGCACAAUGGGGGAAACCCUGAUGCAGCAACGCCGCGUGAGUGAUGAAGGUUUUCGGAUCGUAAAGCUCUGUCUUUGGGGAAGAUAAUGACGGUACCCAAGGAGGAAGCCACGGCUAACUACGUGCCAGCAGCCGCGGUAAUACGUAGGUGGCGAGCGUUAUCCGGAUUUACUGGGCGUAAAGGGAGCGUAGGCGGAUGAUUAAGUGGGAUGUGAAAUACCCGGGCUCAACUUGGGUGCUGCAUUCCAAACUGGUUAUCUAGAGUGCAGGAGAGGAGAGUGGAAUUCCUAGUGUAGCGGUGAAAUGCGUAGA
Molecule: ribosomal RNA, 453 nt
Filed under: uncultured bacterium
Lineage: Bacteria
Description: bacterial SSU rRNA
Rfam family: Bacterial small subunit ribosomal RNA
Source: RNAcentral